UUUCAGUGUAACCAUAAGUUACCACGCUCAAUCGUUUUAUUUGAAUUUUUUUAUAAUUAGUAAUUUUAUUAUUAUUAUAUGAUAAAAUAUGAAUAUUACUUUAUACAUAACUUAUGUUUUAAGUUUUUUUUAAAUUUUUUCAAAUAAGUCGAACGAUCAAAGUUAUGCACGAAAAAUUAUGGCUGCAUUUAAA
RNAcentral lists this microRNA precursor (193 nucleotides) under Oryza sativa Indica Group (long-grained rice). RNAcentral's name for it is "MIR812 microRNA precursor family". It matches the Rfam family "MIR812 microRNA precursor family". The record is from Rfam by way of RNAcentral. Lineage: Eukaryota; Viridiplantae; Streptophyta; Magnoliopsida; Poales; Poaceae.